This 305-nucleotide ribosomal RNA is filed under the name Prorocentrum micans. RNAcentral's name for it is "partial Bacterial small subunit ribosomal RNA". It matches the Rfam family "Bacterial small subunit ribosomal RNA", at positions 92 to 412 of the family's 1533-position model. Lineage: Eukaryota; Dinophyceae; Prorocentrales; Prorocentraceae. The record is from RNAcentral.
CAAGUGGCGGACGGGUGAGUAACACGUGAGAAUCUGCCUUUAGGAGGGGGACAACAACUGGAAACGGUUGCUAAUACCCCAUAUGCUUUCGAGUGAAAUGAAUUUAUUCGCCUAGAGAGGAGCUCGCGCCUGAUUAGCUUGUUGGUGGGGUAAAAGCCUACCAAGGCGACGAUCAGUAUCUGGUUUGAGAGGACGAUCAGACACACUGGAACUGAGACACGGUCCAGACUCCUACGGGAGGCAGCAGUGGGGAAUUUUCCGCAAUGGGCGAAAGCCUGACGGAGCAAUACCGCGUGAGGGAAGAC